GACGAACGCUGGCGGCGUGCUUAACACAUGCAAGUCGAACGAAGAGCGAUGGAAGCUUGCUUCUAUCAAUCUUAGUGGCGAACGGGUGAGUAACGCGUAAUCAACCUGCCCUUCAGAGGGGGACAACAGUUGGAGACGACUGCUAAUACCGCAUACGAUCUAAUCUCGGCAUCGAGGAUAGAUGAAAGGUGGCCUCUACAUGUAAGCUAUCACUGAAGGAGGGGAUUGCGUCUGAUUAGCUAGUUGGAGGGGUAACGGCCCACCAAGGCGAUGAUCAGUAGCCGGUCUGAGAGGAUGAACGGCCACAUUGGGACUGAGACACGGCCCAGACUCCUACGGGAGGCAGCAGUGGGGAAUCUUCCGCAAUGGACGAAAGUCUGACGGAGCAACGCCGCGUGAGUGAUGACGGCCUUCGGGUUGUAAAGCUCUGUUAAUCGGGACGAAAGGCCUUCUUGCGAAUAGAGAGAAGGAUUGACGGUACCGGAAGAGAAAGCCACGGCUAACUACGUG
RNAcentral lists this ribosomal RNA (510 nucleotides) under uncultured bacterium. RNAcentral's name for it is "partial 16S ribosomal RNA". It matches the Rfam family "Bacterial small subunit ribosomal RNA", at positions 28 to 507 of the family's 1533-position model. The record is from RNAcentral.